Molecule: long non-coding RNA, 424 nt
Organism: Mauremys mutica (yellowpond turtle)
Lineage: Eukaryota; Metazoa; Chordata; Testudines; Geoemydidae
Exons: 2
Source: RefSeq, a predicted model, not a curated record
AAAGGAUGAUUGGAUCUCAAAAUAUGAAAGACCCUUCAUUCAAUAAAGCAACAGGAUUGGCUCUGAGGAGAGGAAAGAGCCAGCAUGGACAGUAUUCAAGACACAAUGUUCAAAAGUUGCUGCUGGGAUGGAAGCAAAGAAGAAAGCCCUGGAGACAGGUUAGUGCUGGGACACAGACACUAUCCUGGAGGGGCCUGGGACAGGGUGUGUAACCAUAGCGACCAGCGGGUCCUUUCCCCACUGUGGUCCUGGCUCGCAUGCACAGGGUGAAACCGAUCGCCGUGUUUGGGGUCGGGAAGGAAUUUUCCUCCAGGGCAGAUUGGCCAGAGACCCUGGAGGUUUUUCGCCUUCCUCUGGGGCAUCGAGCAGGGACCAGCCCUUAGGGCCAUUUAGGAACAGACAUAAUAAAAUCCAUCAGAGAGAA